GUGCUUGCUUCAGCUACACAUAUACUAAUAUUGGAAUGAUAUAAAGAAGAAAAUUAGCAUGGCCCCUGUGCAUGACUUGCAAAUUCAUGAAGUAUACAUAUUUUUG
Molecule: small nuclear RNA, 106 nt
Organism: Lepus europaeus (European hare)
Lineage: Eukaryota; Metazoa; Chordata; Mammalia; Lagomorpha; Leporidae
Source: RefSeq, a predicted model, not a curated record